UGCAGGUCAAUCCCUGACGGCUGUUCUCGCUGCAGUUGGAGGUGGAGUUUUAUCAUUAAUUGCAAUGAUACAGGUCGCGGUUAUGCUCUUUACUAGCAGGCGAGAAAAGAAACGAGCUCAAACACCUUCGCCGGAGGAAACGUCGUCAAACACAACCGGAUACGUCAAUGCGUCAUUUGUAGCCAUCACGGAGCAAACAGGACACACUGUGCGGGAUGGUGCUGAAGCGGUAACCGGCCAAACACCUUCACCGGAAGAAACGUCGUCAAACGCGACCGGAUACGUCAAUGCGUCAUUUGUAGCCAUCACUGGUAAGUUGGCGAGCUUCUGGGUAUCUCGAA
Branchiostoma belcheri (Belcher's lancelet) is the source of this 341-nucleotide long non-coding RNA. RefSeq lists it as uncharacterized. The transcript is spliced from 3 exons. Lineage: Eukaryota; Metazoa; Chordata; Leptocardii; Amphioxiformes; Branchiostomatidae. The record is from RefSeq and is a predicted model, not a curated record.